This is a long non-coding RNA of Lycium barbarum (goji berry), 1612 nucleotides long. RefSeq lists it as uncharacterized. The record is from RefSeq and is a predicted model, not a curated record. Lineage: Eukaryota; Viridiplantae; Streptophyta; Magnoliopsida; Solanales; Solanaceae. The transcript is spliced from 2 exons.
UUAUCACAAUUCUACGGAAAUCGAGAUGGUUUUUCCCCUGAUAACAAAAGGUAAACCUUCUCUAGCAACAAUAAAUACAUAGUACUCUUUUUCACUUUCCCACAUCUUGCUACAAAGAAAAACAAACAGACCCAUUUGUUCUCUUUCAUUAUCAGUGCAAACAAUCAAUUUCCACCGCCGACACAUCUUCUAACAAACCCAGAAUGUAAAACACCGGAUUUUACUUUCUACUCUUUGUUUUUCUUCUUUCUCUUUACUUUCUUAGGUGCUGUUUGAUCAUAAAAAUUAUUCACUUUUUUUUGAUUUUUUUUUUGUAUUUUUGGGCGUUUGACUAUAAAUAUUCCGAAUAUAACUUGAAGUUGUAUUCCGAAAUAUUAAAAAUUUAAAAAAUUUAUUCUUUUUUCACUUUUUUACGAGUACAUUUCACCAAAAAUUACAAUUUAAAAAAGUAUGGCCAAACACAACUCCAACUUUAAAAAUUUCAAAAAAAGUAAAUUUAUUUUUGAUAUUUAUGGCCAAAUAGCACCUUAGUCUUUAGAUGAAUGUAGGGUCCUCUUCUUGUUCAAAUCUCUCUUUUCCCUCUGGUCAAUUUUACUUUCUGUCCAUAAAUUAAAAGAAAAAGAAAGGCUUGUGUGAGAAGAACACAUUCAGGAUCACAAUUUGGUCGAAGACAAAAUUUUGAGCCUGAGCCUUCAGAAGGUUACAAAUCAGUGGUAGAAGAAUUUGGAAUGUAUUUUCUGCCCACUGAUGGAGAUCUGGCACUAGAGAUGAUGCAAAAAAUCAACUAUUUGGGAUAUGAGUCAUUUGUACCAAGUCCAGGGCCUUAUGUUCGAGAGGUGGUUUUAGAAUUUUAUGCAAAUAUGAAUGCUCAGGAGGAAACUUCAAGAGUUCGAGAUCCGAGUAGUGGCAGAUUAGUGCAGGCUUGUAUCCAACACCGGAAUUUCCUCUGUACCACCAACAACACUCAAUAUGCAUAAAGAAGGUGGGUCAAAUAAAAUUUUCAUACCAUUUAGCAUGUAGCCUCUCUCCAUGUGGUCAGAUGUUGUCACAAUUCCAGAAAUGAAUACUGCAAAUCCUGCUAAUUUCUAUGGCGAAGGACCCUCCGUUCCUCCCGAAAAUCAGGGAAAUGAAAACUUUGAUGCUGCAUUUAACUUUCUCACUGGUGAAGGUACUGGAACAUGUAGUCAUUGAAACUUGAAUUAUUCAUUCAGGAAAAUGAAUAAUUUAAGUGUGGGGAUGGUAAAAACUCUACUCUACUUUUUCUAUGUGAUAAUCUUAUGGUCUACUUUAUGUAGUUGGAAAUGUUGGUAGUCCUUUUUGGUGCUGGUUGUUUUUGAAAAUGUUGGUGAUGUGUUGAUGUUAGUUGAAAGAAGAAGAAGAUUUUUUGGUUGACAACAGCUAACAUCUUUUUUGAAAAUAGCCAUAAGAGGAAGCUUGUACAUUGUUUAACCUUAUGGUUAGUAUGUUGGUGCUAGUUGAAAGAAGAAAGAAACGCUUGAUUGGCAGCAUGUAACAUCUUUUUGCUGUAAAUAGCCAUAAAAGGCAGCUUGUACCUGUUCGUUUUAGUGUGAAAAUGUCAAAUGACAAACCUUGUAAUGAAAGUUUAACUGCA